CAGUUUAUUGUUGUACAUAUGAGGUACCAUGCUACUAUCAGAAUUAUAUCCAGUUUUUUUAUUUUAAAAAACUCAGAAAAAAAAAUGUUUCCAUUAAUUUUCAUUCAAUGUGAAUGACAAGAAUAUUAUAGCUAUAAACACUGAAAUAACCAUUUCAUUUCUUCCUGAGGAAGUUUCAUAUUUUAAGCAAUGAAAAAAGAAUGCCAUACAAAGCUAGUUUGAAAUCACAUUAUCUGUUUCUUUCCCCAUCUGUAUUUAUGUUACUUUCAGAAGAACAUGACAACCACCCAGAGCAUCCAAUGUAGUAAGUGUGCAUGUCCCCUAGAUUUUGAGUUGUCUUCCAGAUACACUGAGUGAUCAAAAUUUCUUUCAAAGGUUUGCUGCUCUAGGUAGCAUAAUAUCUAUAUUAUGAAUGAGUAAAUUUCUCCUUUCAUCCCACAAGCAUCCAGUGUGUUUUUGACAUUUCUUAAAGGGUAAGCUGUUUAGUUGACUCAGUUUACCCAGACAGAAUUACACCAUUAGGAGCUUUGUUUAGAAGUUUAAAUGCACAUCUCAUCGUUGGAGCGUAAAUGCAUUGUUUUUCUUUUCCUUUCUUUUUUUUUAAAUCAGUAGAAGUGUUGUCAAAAUGAAAAUACAAUACCGUAUGUAACUCCUGGGGCCUGUUCUCAC
Molecule: long non-coding RNA, 669 nt
Filed under: Bos taurus (domestic cattle)
Lineage: Eukaryota; Metazoa; Chordata; Mammalia; Artiodactyla; Bovidae
Description: long non-coding RNA NONBTAT021792
Source: RNAcentral